AUUGAACGCUGGCGGCAUGCUUUACACAUGCAAGUCGAGCGGCAGCGCGGGGUUCAGGCAACUGAGCCCUGGCGGCGAGCGGCGAACGGGUGAGUAAUACAUCGGAACGUACCCAGGAGUGGGGGAGUAGCCCGGCCGAAGACCGGAUUAAUACCGCAUACGAUCUGUGGAUGAAAGUAGGGGGACCGUAAGGGCGAACUGAGGGCCGUCACGCUUUUGGAGCGGCCGAUGUCCGAUUAGCUAGUUGGUGGGGUAAGGCCUACCAAGGCGACGAUCGGUAGCUGGUCUGAGAGGAUGAUCAGCCACACUGGGACUGAGACACGGCCCAGACUCCUACGGGAGGCAGC
RNAcentral lists this ribosomal RNA (347 nucleotides) under uncultured bacterium. RNAcentral's name for it is "partial 16S ribosomal RNA". It matches the Rfam family "Bacterial small subunit ribosomal RNA", at positions 28 to 352 of the family's 1533-position model. The record is from RNAcentral.